GCCCUUAGAGUUUGAUCCUGGCUCAGAUUGAACGCUGGCGGCAUGCCUUACACAUGCAAGUCGAACGGUAACAGGUCUUCGGAUGCUGACGAGUGGCGAACGGGUGAGUAAUACAUCGGAACGUGCCCGAUCGUGGGGGAUAACGAGGCGAAAGCUUUGCUAAUACCGCAUACGAUCUACGGAUGAAAGCGGGGGAUCUUCGGACCUCGCGCGGACGGAGCGGCCGAUGGCAGAUUAGGUAGUUGGUGGGAUAAAAGCUUACCAAGCCGACGAUCUGUAGCUGGUCUGAGAGGAUGAUCAGCCACACUGGGACUGAGACACGGCCCAGACUCCUACGGGAGGCAGCAGUGGGGAAUUUUGGACAAUGGGCGAAAGCCUGAUCCAGCCAUGCCGCGUGCAGGAUGAAGGCCUUCGGGUUGUAAACUGCUUUUGUACGGAACGAAAAGCCUCUUUCUAAUAAAGAGGGGUCAUGACGGUACCGUAAGAAUAAGCACCGGCUAACUACGUGCCAGCAGCCGCGGUAAUACGUAGGGUGCAAGCGUUAAUCGGAAUUACUGGGCGUAAAGCGUGCGCAGGCGGUUUUGUAAGACAGA
This 593-nucleotide ribosomal RNA is filed under the name uncultured bacterium. RNAcentral's name for it is "bacterial SSU rRNA". It matches the Rfam family "Bacterial small subunit ribosomal RNA", at positions 1 to 592 of the family's 1533-position model. The record is from RNAcentral.